Non-coding RNA from Anas platyrhynchos (mallard), 961 nucleotides. Lineage: Eukaryota; Metazoa; Chordata; Aves; Anseriformes; Anatidae. The record is from RefSeq and is a predicted model, not a curated record.
GGGCAGGUCUUGACAAUAUUCCUCACUUUUUAUUUGCUUUCUGUGUUAUGGAAAGCAUGGAUUUAGAGCAACCCAAUGCUUUUGGGGUAAGCAGGUCUAUUCUGGGUGGUAGGAAGCAAGAGGUAAUGCUGAGCAGCACCAGAGCUGCAGCUGUAUCCAGGAAUGGUUGGACUCUCCAGGGGCAAGACUGGAACAGCUGACAUGAAUAGGUAAUUUUCUCAGCAUCCCAUUUAAUUUGAUUGGGUGGAGGAAGAAGUUUUGGUCUUUGGGCUCUGCAAAACCAUCGUUGGGGCGGACCAAAAAAAAAAUAAAUAAUAAUUUCAAAACCUUGAAAGAUUUCGCAAAGCUGAAUUGUCUUCCUCUGGUAAUGCAAGCACACCCGCCCCUGGCACAGAGAUGUUCCUCAGCCCCAGAGGAGCACAGGGCUCUGCCUCUCACUACCGCACCCAGCACCAAGGACAUUGUGAGAAUUUGAAGCCAUGGCACUCAUCAGUAGAAAACUGGCUCUCCUCUACAAGCAAAUCCUGAAGAAUUCAAUUGCCAUGACGUGCUGCUCCCUCCCUGAUAUAUGGAGUUGCCAGGAGCAACUCCAUUUUUCUGUCAUCUUUCCGCACGUUGGUGCGGUAGCCUGGACAGACAUCUCUCUCCACUGCGAUACCAGAUAUGUUCCUGAACCUGGAAGCAACAGCUUGGACCUAGAACAGCCUCACCUACCAAGAGGGAGUCUGACACGAAGAUUUUUGCCACAUGCUGGGCUUUGGUUGUCCUAUUUAAAAUUCAAUAUCCUAGUUCUGUUGCAUCCAGAGGAUCCCAGAGGCCAGACACAAAUGUGGCUAUGUAAGCCUGAAUCCGAAGCAAGAACUGAGAAUUGAACACAACUGAGAUGUUUCCCUUUAUUCAUCAGUUUCUCUCUUGGCCAGGUUGAGUCUAAUGUAGUUUACAUAGGUUCACACUGAUCUUA